This 429-nucleotide ribosomal RNA is filed under the name Chloroflexota bacterium. RNAcentral's name for it is "Chloroflexi bacterium partial 16S ribosomal RNA". It matches the Rfam family "Bacterial small subunit ribosomal RNA", at positions 355 to 776 of the family's 1533-position model. The record is from RNAcentral. Lineage: Bacteria; Bacillati; Chloroflexota.
UGGGGAAUAUUGCACAAUGGGCGCAAGCCUGAUGCAGCCAUGCCGCGUGUGUUAAGAAGGCCUUCGGGUUGUAAAGCACUUUCAGCGGGGAGGAAGGCGAUAAGGUUAAUAACCUUGUCGAUUGACGUUACCCGCAGAAGAAGCACCGGCUAACUCCGUGCCAGCAGCCGCGGUAAUACGGAGGGUGCAAGCGUUAAUCGGAAUUACUGGGCGUAAAGCGCACGCAGGCGGUCUGUCAAGUCGGAUGUGAAAUCCCCGGGCGCAACCUGGGAACUGCAUUCGAAACUGGCAGGCUAGGGUCUUGGAGAGGGGGGUAGAGGUCCAGGUGUAGCGGUGAAGUACGUAGAGAACUGGAGGAAUACCGGUGGCGAAGGCGGCCCCCUGGACAAAGACUGACGAUCAGGUGCGAAAGCGUGGGGAGCAAACAGG